UACGGGGGGGGCAAGCGUUGUUCGGAAUUACUGGGCGUAAAGGGCUCGUAGGCGGCCAACUAAGUCAGACGUGAAAUCCCUCGGCUUAACCGGGGAACUGCGUCUGAUACUGGAUGGCUUGAGUUCGGGAGAGGGACGCGGAAUUCCAGGUGUAGCGGUGAAAUGCGUAGAUAUCUGGAGGAACACCGGUGGCGAAGGCGGCCAUCUGGACGGUGACUGACGCUGAGACGCGAAAGCGUGGGUAGCAAACAGG
This 253-nucleotide ribosomal RNA is filed under the name uncultured bacterium. RNAcentral describes it as "partial 16S ribosomal RNA". It matches the Rfam family "Bacterial small subunit ribosomal RNA", at positions 524 to 776 of the family's 1533-position model. The record is from RNAcentral.